Molecule: ribosomal RNA, 106 nt
Organism: Dipodomys ordii (Ord's kangaroo rat)
Lineage: Eukaryota; Metazoa; Chordata; Mammalia; Rodentia; Heteromyidae
Source: Ensembl
CUCUAUGGCCAUACCCCCCUGAACACGCCCGAUCUCUUCUGAUCUCAGAAGCUAAGCAGGGUCGGGCCUGGUUAGUACUUGGAUGGGAGAAAUGUGGGUGCUGAGC